GUGGACGUAGCUCAAUUGGUUAGAGCGUCGGACUGUGGAUCCGAUGGUUGCGAGUUCGAGUCUCGUCGUCCACCCCA
Molecule: transfer RNA, 77 nt
Filed under: Pseudomonadota bacterium
Lineage: Bacteria; Pseudomonadati; Pseudomonadota
Also listed under: 1 other name
Description: tRNA-His
Rfam family: tRNA
About the family: Transfer RNA (tRNA) molecules are approximately 80 nucleotides in length.
Source: RNAcentral